This 405-nucleotide ribosomal RNA is filed under the name uncultured bacterium. RNAcentral describes it as "partial 16S ribosomal RNA". It matches the Rfam family "Bacterial small subunit ribosomal RNA", at positions 30 to 526 of the family's 1533-position model. The record is from RNAcentral.
AUUGAACGCUGGCGGCAGGCUUAACACAUGCAAGUCGAACGAGUGGCGGACGGGUGAGUAAUGCUUGGGAAUCUGGCUUAUGGAGGGGGAUAACUACUGGACACUGUAGCUAAUACCGCAUACCAUCGGAUGAGCCCAAGUGGGAUUAGCUAGUUGGUGGGGUAAUGGCUCACCAAGCCGACGAUCUCUAGCUGGUCUGAGAGGAUGACCAGCCACACGGGGACUGAGACACGGUCCAGACUCCUACGGGAGGCAGCAGUGGGGAAUAUUGCACAAUGGGCGCAAGCUGAUGCAGCCAUGCCGCGUGAAUGAAGAAGGCCUUCGGGUUGUAAAGUUCUUUCAGUAACGAGGCGUUAACCACAGAAGAAGCACCGGCUAACUCCGUGCCAGCAGCCGCGGUAAUUC